Molecule: unclassified non-coding RNA, 7238 nt
Filed under: Mizuhopecten yessoensis (Yesso scallop)
Lineage: Eukaryota; Metazoa; Mollusca; Bivalvia; Pectinida; Pectinidae
Description: arf-GAP with Rho-GAP domain, ANK repeat and PH domain-containing protein 2-like, transcript variant X1
Source: RNAcentral
CCCGGAAGCCAGUUUGGCAUGAAGUGUGAAAAUAGGACUCUUAGCUUACGAUUAACGUUUAUCAAGCAACGGGAAGUGACUGGUUCAUGAAGGGACAAGGAUGGAUGGCGAUGAAGGGGGACGCACACUAGCUACCUGGUUGGAAAGUCUUGAUCUUGAACAGUACAUCCAGAACUUCCGCGAUGUUGGUAUCUUUAAUCUAAAGGAUUGUGUGACCUUGGACAGCGACUUCCUCAAUGACAUUGGCAUCAACUUACUGGGACACAGGAAAAGAAUCCUGGAACAUCUACCCCUCAUUGACAUAAAUAAAUAUCAUGAAGAGCAUGACAGAGCCAAGUCUGUACGAACAUUGCCACCAAAUCAGGAUUCUAUUUUCACGUACCCCUCACCUAGUAAAGGGGAAGUAACUUCCAAUAUUGUUCUACCAAAGAGAAGCAGAAGUGAAAAGAAGGCAAAUAAUAAGUCACAUUUGCUUGUAGAUAUGCAAAAGGACCACCCUCCUAUCUCUCCGACCACACCUACAGAUCCGCCUCAAAGGUGCUCCCCUCAAAAUGUAGCACUCCCUAUCCGUGUAAAAAGCCCUCCACCAAAUACAGCCAUGGCAACAGAAAAACAAGCUCCAAAGACAACCCCUCCAGUUCCUGCCAAGCGGGGAGAAAUUCCAGCCCUCUUGCAGGAGACUGAGAAACCAAAGGCAAAACCAGUACCAAAACCCAGAAAAACUUUACAAAAGAAACAGAUAUUGUCUACAUCAACGUCUGUGCUGCCAUCACAGUCGGACUACUCAACUCCCAGACAGAUACGAAAUUCAGUUUCUAUCUCGGGUCUGACCAUAGACGAAUCUUCUGACUUCUCUGGUGACACAUUUGAUCCUAUUAAGUCAGCUUCCUUAGAACCCACAUCAUAUCAGGCAGGGGAAGGAGUUGAUUUGUCUCUACCAACUAAUCAGCCUGGACGAGGAAAUGAUUCGUCUCUACCAUCAAGUCCUCUGGAUUUAGAUUUAAGCUUUGUUCCUAGGACAUCUUGUGAGUCUGACAGAAGAACUAUGAGUGAAGUUUAUGUAAACAUGGACAUUUUUGGCGACAAUACCAACGCAAACAAUCAUCCAAUAAGUCAUGGGAAGGAUAGUAACAGUGAUAAAAUCAUUCCUCACGGAAACAACAUGGACAACGAAUAUGCUAAUGUGGAUCUGAGUCACAAUGAGGCUAGUAUAUACGAACCUAUUUGGUUUGGGAAAAGUGCACCAAAAUCCACCAAAUCUGCUACUAGUACUUCUACCAUUGCCUCUGAUACUUCGCCUGUAUCCUCUUCAGGCAAUGAUUCUAAAGCAUCUCCACAAAUUGACAGUAUUGUUCCUGUGCCAGGAACUGAUAUGUUUGGACACUCCACAGGUUUGAGCACCAUAGGGCUGCCAUCUACAGCGACCUCUAGCAUGUUUGAUUCAUCGGAGGUAACAGAUGAGGGUGUGUACGCUAAUGUGGAACCUGCUACUCCUCCAAAGAUGGACAUAACCCCUCCAAAUACUUCCUCUGCAUUGUCAGAGUUAGAUUUAGACUUCUUCACUAAAAACACACCUACCACUUGCACAUCAAGCACCCCUAAUGUGAUUGGAACAUCGGGGCCAGGGAUGAUGACAAACACUCAGUUAAAUCUCAAUAGCAGCAUCAGUGGUAACAGUACAGGAUCGCCAGACGCAUCUUUUGAAUUGCCACCCCCAGAUUUUCCUCCCCCUCCUCUGCCCCCUCCUCCUCCACCAACAGACAGUCUGUCUAUGUUUGAUCCUCUGGCAUGUGAAUCUAAGCCCACUUUUCAUCCUGAGCCUGCAAUGCCUCCUGUUCCACCUCGUGGCGCCACGACAUCCCUAAAUUCUGGCUACGUCAAUGUAGUGGCAGGACAAACAGCACCUUCUAAUAACCCUGGGCAACCGGUGCAGUCCCCUUGGCCUUCUGUCCAGGGUGAUCUACCAGCAGAACUCUGCUUUACACCAAAUAAGGGACAAAUUUUUUCCACACAGCUUCAGAUGAACGAUUCCUCUGAAUACUGUUUUGCUACUUACAAUAAAACGCCUCAGAAAACCAAACUGCAUGAGAAUAUGAAACUACCUUCUUUGUCUACCCCAGGGCCAGACCCCUUCAAAGACGAUGACCCGUUCACUGAGUUUGGUGUGGAAUGUGCCGUGUUUAACCAGGGUGGUGAUGACCUCAGCAACACUGAUAACGAUGGUACAGUGGCAACAAGGGCAGACAACUCUAUGGGUGUUUAUGAAUUUGCCCAGGAAGAUAAUUCUGGUGACUUUGAUCCAUUUGGUCUAAAAGAAAGUAACCAAGGAGCAACAGGUGGUCCAAAGGAGUGGUCAAGCUCGGCUAGUCCAUGUACUCUCAAUGAUAUACCGCCCCCUCCCCGCUGGGACAAAGCUUUAGAUGACCCUGGGAGACUGUACUCAAUGGCUUUUGGAUAUAAUAAUGACCAGAGCACUGAUGAGUCAAUGUCUGAUCUAGAUGAGCCAGAACCUGUGGAUAGUGGAAAUAGUCCAGUCAUUCUUCCCAACCCAGUGUUGAGGCCAAUAUCCAUUGUGUCUGAUGACGAGAUACUGCAUCAAAAAAAAGGUGAACGAGCAGGUUACCUGUACAAACAAGGCGGACAAAAAGGCAACAAAGGUUGGAGAAAAAGAUGGGUGAUCUUCAAUGGAAAAUCUGUACGCUACUAUGCCAAUGCAAAGAGCCAGGUUUCCAAGAGAAUCGUGCCUGUAACAUGCAUGACGGGGGUUACAAACCAGAUUAAGGCUAAUGACACACACAAAUUCAAAUUCAAUGUCGAGACGAAGAACAGAACAUUCCAAUUUGCAGCUGAAACAUUAGAUGACUGUACUCACUGGUGUAGCUGUUUGAUGGCUGCUAUUUUAACAAAGCCCCCAUCUGAGGCCGUACUUGAGGGCGGGGAAAUGAACUAUCCUGAUAGACAGGGGUCUAUUCGGUUUGAGAGGUACCGGCGGAACCUGCAUGUGGUGUUGAAAGGGGGUCGGAUGUGUUACUACAACACACUGGAGGACUAUAAGAUAGCAUCCCCGAUCCAUGAGAUAGAGAUGAAGCUAGCAAGUGUGAAGGAACUACCAAGGAACAAGUUACGACUGGCCACUCAUUACACUCAGUUUGUGCUGGCGUUCGAGACUUAUGAGGAUUGUGUGACGUGGAGAAUGGCGAUGGAGGAGUCAAUAGCUGACGCUCUAGGGGAUAACACUAUAUUGGAACAGAUCAAAAAGAAUCCCAGUAACCACGAGUGUGCUGACUGUAGUGCUCCAGAUCCUCACUGGGCCUCCAUUAACAUGGGCAUUGUGUUGUGUAAACAGUGUGCAGGUAUUCAUCGUAAGUUUGACCUGAAUGUCUCGAAAGUGCGGUCACUACGAAUGGACACUUCUGUAUGGUCACCGAGUCUUAUUGAAAUGAUGAAACAAAUUGGCAACCACAAUGCAAACCUGUUCUGGGAAAAACAUCUACGGGCUAAGAGUGGAUUUAACCAAGACAUGGAAUCAGCACAGCGAAAACAGCAUCUAGAGAACAAAUACGAGAACCGGAAAUAUAUAGACAAACAUCCGCUCAGCGAUAACAAACCUGCUCUUAAUGAGGAGCUACUGAAGGCCGCCUCCACCGCUGAUAUUCUCCUCACGAUGAUGCUUGUAUUCUCUGGUGCAGAUGUCAAGGUUAUCAAACCAGGCACACAAGAGGAAACAGCCUUCAGCAUAGCUAAGGCAGCUGGUCAGAGAUUGCAGAUGGAACUGCUGUACCAGAAUGGUGGUGAUUUAACAGCAGCUCGGCUGUGUGAGGAACCAGAUAAGGCUAGGGAGUCAAAAAUCAGGUCUGAUGUCCGCACACAAGGAUUUCUGCUUAAGACUGGCAGUGAUAAGAAAGAUUUCCUGAAGAGGUUUUGUGUAUUGGAGCAUGGCUGUAUGCGCUACUUCACUAAUGAAAAAAGUGGAACAGCUAAGGGGGUCAUUGACCACGAAAACAUGCUGUGUGUCCAGGCUACUCCUACUGACCGGUCGAUACUGAGUAUCAAGGCACCCUUAAUAAACCAAAAAAUGGAGAUCACCAACAGGUACCCUGAGGCUUUUGAGCUGAGUACCUGUGCGUCUACAGGUAGUCGAGUGUACCUCUUUGCUGCAGCCUCACCUGAAGAGAAGAUGACGUGGAUGAGGAAAAUAUCACAGUUGAUCUGUCCACUACCGUUGAUGGAAGAUGUGCGACAACAGGACUUCUGUUUGGCUGGGAAAUUCUACGUGAAGGAAGGACUGUCAUCGACGUGGUACGAGUCCUGGGUUAUGGUCAACAAAAAGGUUGUGUUAUACACAGACAAGGAUAUGAAGUUAACAGAGGAUGUUGACCUCAGAAAAGCUGUUAAUAUCAAGUACCAAGGUGAUGCGUUGAGCAACUGUACCUCCUGUAAAGAAAGUGGGAAACACUUCGUGCUCGACUUACCUGGUGGCAGAGCCUUGUACUUCCAGGCAGACUUACUACAUGACACCGAGAGACUGUUUAAUGCUAUAAGUAAUUUGAUGAAGUCUGGUGGUGACACGCUAAUUGACCAACAACUGACUUCAGAUGAUGUGCCGGUGAUAGUGGACAAAUGUUUGAAGUUUAUAGAUGACCAUGGCCUGCAAGAGGAAGGCAUAUACAGGCUGGCUGCUACCAACUCUAAGGUUGAUACUCUGCUUGCGACGUUCGCCAAAGAUGCUCAUGCUGUGAAGCUUGAGUUGGGCACACACACUGUACACGAGGUGGCCAAUGCUCUCAAGCGGUUCUUCAGGAACCUCAAGGAUCCACUUCUCACGUCGCACCUGUAUAACACCUGGAUAGAGAAAAGUUUAGAGAAAGAUGUCGCAGGUAAGACCACAAUGACUCAGACUAAGUUAGACUGGUAUCACUACUACAUACGAGAACUACCCACGGUACACAGCCGCACCCUCCGACGACUCGUCAUACAUCUCGCCAAAUUGUCAGGCUACAGUGUAGAAAAUAAGAUGACUGUGAAAAACAUAGCUGCCAGCUUUGGUUCCACCUUGAUGAAGGCAGGAGUGGACUCUUCCACUGCCACUGCCACAGUACUGGGAGGUGCAGAGGGAGGUCAGAAUAUUCCCCACGAGAUGCGUGUGAUUGAUGACAUCAUCACUAACCAUGAACAGCUGUUUGAGCUUGAGAAAGAGAAGGAAAAUCAGAUCGCGGCCGGCGAGAAGCGCCUCAGGGAUCUACAGGCUCGGGCUAGUAAACGGGUUGAAUGCAACGUUUUUUCAAAGCAAAGUACCAUUGGCGACCCCAUGAUGGUUUCUGUACAUUUCCUCAUCCACAAUGGACAUAGCGAAAGUGUCCAUUUAAAACACGAUACAACAGUACAGGAAAUUAUUGGGCCUCUACUAACGAAGUUUAAAGUGCAAGCCUCGCCCAAUAACUAUGCCCUACAUGAGAUGGUGUGUAACGGUGCUGUGGAACGCCUGCUGUACCCAAAAGAUAAUGUCUAUACUGUGGUAAUGUCUUGGGCUGACUGGCAGAGUGACUACAGCAGAACCGCAUGUCUAUGUCUCAAACCGUCGGAGCUCGCAGACAAGUUGGAAAGCAAUUUUAAACCUGAGAAAGGUCCAUUUUUGGAGCUAAAGUUCAGCAAGAAGGACAGAAGUUUCACCAAGUUUGCUUUUCAGUUUAGAAGUAGUAAACUGACUUACAGUAAGAAGAUAAGUCAAAAGCCUGUGAAUUCUUGGAAUGUAGAAGAUUUAAGCAUCUAUAUCGGUGCUGAUACAGAACGCAAGGCAGCCAAGUUUCCUUUAACCUUCAUGAAGAAAGGAGACAAAGUGGGUUCUAAGGAGAUGCCCAACUUUGGCCACACACUGAGUUUUGGGUCUGAGAGUGACCAGCUAGAAUGGGCUGCUGCUAUGGUCAAGGCACAGAAUCCUGGACCCCUGACAACAUGAGAUUACAUCAACAGUUGGCUGUUAAGCCAAUGAAUUAUUCUGUAUGAGGCUACAAGAGAGGAAUCCCAACCCAGUGGUGCUGUCGACUUUGACCUUGAAAUGACAUUCAGCAGGAUAAAAAACUGUCGUCACAGAAUUGUCAUUCUCAAUGGAGGACAAGUGUCUGUUCUUUGUGUUCUGUUCAGUGAAUAGAUGAACGUAGCCUUCAGUGAUGAAACGUGAGGAGCAGAAAGAAAAACGAGGUUUUUUUUGUCAAACCUCAUUGUUUGCGUUUUCCCUGGAAGUUGGACUUGGUGUGCUUGACCUUGAACAGGUGUAGGAGGUGAUAAAAACACAUGUGCAAUAUGAUAGGUGUUCCUAAGCCAAGUGAUCAUUUAUAACACAGACUCAAGUUGUUGUGAAAAAUUCAUUUUAAAUGCCAAAAUAUAUACAUGUGUAGCUCUGCCUUCCCUAUAUAUAUGUAGUGAAGUGAAUGUUGCGCAAUGUUUUUGAACUUUAUGUUUUCAUGUGUGCUUGUAAUAUACUGUGCCCUUUUUAUAUAGAUCAUGCCCUUGUAUGUAGGUCACAUGCUCAUAUAUAGGUCACAUCCCUGUAUGUAGGCCCAAUCCUAUUAUGUAGGUCAUGUCCAAAUAUAUAAGUAACAUCUUCAAAUAUAGGUCACAUCCCAAUAUGUAGGCCACAUCCUAUUGUUCAGGUCCUGUCCAAAUAUGUAGGUAACAUCUUCAAAUAUAGGUCAUAUCCCAGUAUGUAGGCCACAUCAACAUACAUAGGUCACAUCCUAUAAUGUAGGUCGCAUCCUCAAAUAUAGGUCAUAUCCUAGUAUGUAGGCCACAACCACAAAUAUAGGUCACAUCCUAUAAUGUAGGUAACAUUUUCAAAUAUAGGUCACAUCCUAGUAUGUAGGCCACAUCCUCAAAUAUAGUUCAGUCACAUCCUUCUUAUAUAGGUAACAUACUUAUACAUAGACCACCCAGCUAUUUGAUGGCCACGUUUUUCUGUAGACCACACUCACCACUUUAUUCCUGCUGUAUGACAAUAGAGAUGAUGACCCAGCCUAUAUACUGUCAGCCUUAUCAGCCUUGUGUUAGCCACAAAACACACACCUUUGUACAGACUGUGUCUCUAUGUAUAGUGGUAAUUUACCAAUACUAUUUACUUACUCAGCCAUUCACCUGCAGUGUUUAUGCUUCUGUUUUGUUUAAUAUCUACUUACAAAACCAAUGUUAUAGUCUUACCAUUACCAAGAUUAUCAAAAUUGUAAAAGUUAAGUUAUGGCAAAAAA